CUCGUAGGCGGCCAACUAAGUCAGACGUGAAAUCCCUCGGCUUAACCGGGGAACUGCGUCUGAUACUGGCUGGCUUGAGAUUGGGAGAGGGAUGCGGAAUUCCAGGUGUAGCGGUGAAAUGCGUAGAUAUCUGGAGGAACACCGGUGGCGAAGGCGGCAUCCUGGACCAACACUGACGCUGAGGAGCGAAAGCCAGGGGAGCAAACGGGAUUAGAUACCCCGGUAGUCCUGGCCCUAAACGAUGAAUGCUUGGUGUGGCGGGUAUCGAUCCCUGCCGUGCCGAAGCUAACGCAUUAAGCAUUCCGCCUGGGGAGUACGGUCGCAAGGCUGAA
Molecule: ribosomal RNA, 332 nt
Filed under: uncultured bacterium
Lineage: Bacteria
Description: bacterial SSU rRNA
Rfam family: Bacterial small subunit ribosomal RNA
Source: RNAcentral